GGUUCUAUGGUGUAGUGGUUAGCACUCCAGACUUUGAAUCUGGCGACCUGGGUUCGAAUCCCGGUAGGACCU
This is a transfer RNA of Zostera marina, 72 nucleotides long. It matches the Rfam family "tRNA". Rfam says of the family: Transfer RNA (tRNA) molecules are approximately 80 nucleotides in length. Lineage: Eukaryota; Viridiplantae; Streptophyta; Magnoliopsida; Alismatales; Zosteraceae. The record is from Rfam.